Molecule: long non-coding RNA, 1865 nt
Filed under: Amborella trichopoda
Lineage: Eukaryota; Viridiplantae; Streptophyta; Magnoliopsida; Amborellales; Amborellaceae
Description: long non-coding RNA (ATRI_LNC001133)
Source: RNAcentral
GCCCCCCUAAGUCCAAUUGAAGUCUGCCUCCGUUCGCCAUCCCUCGUUGAGCCCUCAUCUCCGUCUGAUCCCUUUACAUGUGUACGGCCUUAACCAUUUUAUCCCCAGGGAGUUGGAUUUCUAUCUAUAGACCUAUUCCCCAUGAAGCUCCACUCACAUGGCGGCACAUCCUUGGUCCUAGUUGCACGACCUUAAACUGCACAGCCUUGGUUCGUGCUGCACGAUCCUAAACUGCACAGCCUCGGUCCGUGCUGCACGACCCUAAACUGCGUAGCCCAGGUCUAGUUACAUGACCUUAAACUACAUCGCCUCGGUCCGUCUUGUACGACCCUAGACUGCACAGCUCAGGUCUAGCUGCACGACCUUAAACUGUACAGUCUCGGUCCGUACUGCACGACCCUAAAACUGCACAUCCUCGGUCCAUGAUGCACGACCCUAAACUGUACAGCCUCGAUCCAUGCUGAACGACCCUAAACUGCAUAGUCCUGGUCUAGUUGCACGACCCUAAAACUACAUGGUCCAAACCAUACGACCUUAAAUUGUAGCGGAGAUUUAGUUGCACGACCCAAAAACUACAUGGUCCAAAUUAUAUGACCUUAAAAUGUAGCCCAGGUCAAGCUGCACGACCUUAAACUGUAUAGCCUCGGUUCUAUUUGUAUGACUUUGAACUGCAUAACCACGGUCCAAACUAUAUGACUUUAAACUGUAGCGGAGGUCUAGUUGCAUGACCUUAAACUGCACGGACCUAGUUGUAAGACUUUAAACUGCAUAUAGACGGUCUAGCUGUAUGACCUUAAACCAUAGUGCACAUCCUGACCACAUGACAAUAAACUGCUUUACAUAGGUCCCGGAGGUAUGACCAUAAACUCGCCCCCACAUACACGCACACACCUUUACGUGCACUCUCACGCACGCUUUCCUUAACCUACCUGCUAGUGUGUAUGCGCCACCUUCAUUACCUCCCCAAUAUGUCCAUUCACUUUAUUACCAUUCAUCAUUCCCCAGUGAGUCUCACCUGUGCUCACAAAACAACGAAUCAUCCCGCCAUCCAAACUCGUUGUAAGUUAUUGGGUCACCGUCGUCCGCCCACAUUUCAUACAUCAUCCAUCUUUCAUAGGUAGCCUAAUGUCAUCUCCCCAAGGGAGUCAAACCACCACCAUACUCACUCCAUGGCCUCCACAGAUUGCCAUUCAUCACCACUACGGUCCAGCUGUAUGACCUUAAACCAUUGUGCACGUCCUGACCGCAUGACGUUAAAUUGUUUUGCACAAGUCUGGAAGGCAUGACCUUAAACACACCUUCAUAAAAAAUGAUGAAAUAACAGGCAUGGUGUAUACCUUAACAAAGGAAUGCUAUGAGUAAAAAUGGUGGACGGGCAUGGUCACGAAACCAUGAGCAAAAGAAUUUCGUGAAUAAAACAAAAUCGAGCAUGGUGAAAACCUGAAGAGGGCGUCAUGAGUAAAAAUGGAUGAAAAGGGUGGACAUGGCCGAAAAGUCAUGGGUAAAAGAGCCCCAAAAUAAAAAGAAGUUGGUGAAAAUUGUCUCUACGGCACCGCUUCCCAAGUUCAAGUGAAAAUCCGCAAAGGACGCUUGAAUCAAUAAACAGGUUGAUGCAGCACUCGUCUCAAUAAGCAACUGCAACCCUCACUCAAAACAAGAAAAUCCUUGGUGUCACCAUGCCAGGAAUCCAAAAAUACGAGCUUCAAGGAAACAAUUUUGACAGCCUGAGUCUAGUUGUAAAAGGACUCGAAAGAUAGACGACUCGCCAAGACGACAAGACAAGUCUCAUGAGGAAGAACAUUAUUCCCACGAGGUCACAAACACUACAAAGGAAAGAAACUGACAAAGUUAGAGCAAAACCUGCC